AGUGAACGCUGGCGGUAGGCCUAACACAUGCAAGUCGAACGGCAGCACAGGAGAGCUUGCUCUCUGGGUGGCGAGUGGCGGACGGGUGAGGAAUACAUCGGAAUCUACUCUGUCGUGGGGGAUAACGUAGGGAAACUUACGCUAAUACCGCAUACGACCUACGGGUGAAAGCAGGGGAACGUCGGGCCUUGCGCGAUUGAAUGAGCCGAUGUCGGAUUAGCUAGUUGGCGGGGUAAAGGCCCACCAAGGCGACGAUCCGUAGCUGGUCUGAGAGGAUGAUCAGCCACACUGGAACUGAGACACGGUCCAGACUCCUACGGGAGGCAGCAGUGGGGAAUAUUGGACAAUGGGCGCAAGCCUGAUCCAGCCAUACCGCGUGGGUGAAGAAGGCCUUCGGGUUGUAAAGCCCUUUUGUUGGGAAAGAAAUCCAGCUGGCUAAUACCCGGUUGGGAUGACGGUACCCAAAGAAUAAGCACCGGCUAACUUCGUGCCAGCAGCCGCCGCGG
This 506-nucleotide ribosomal RNA is filed under the name uncultured bacterium. Its description in RNAcentral is "partial 16S ribosomal RNA". It matches the Rfam family "Bacterial small subunit ribosomal RNA", at positions 29 to 523 of the family's 1533-position model. The record is from RNAcentral.